This 253-nucleotide ribosomal RNA is filed under the name uncultured bacterium. Its description in RNAcentral is "partial 16S ribosomal RNA". It matches the Rfam family "Bacterial small subunit ribosomal RNA", at positions 524 to 776 of the family's 1533-position model. The record is from RNAcentral.
UACGUAGGGACCAAGCGUUGUUCGGAUUUACUGGGCGUAAAGGGCUCGUAGGCGGCCAACUAAGUCGGAUGUGAAAUCCCCAGGCUCAACCUGGGAACUGCAUCCGAUACUGGAUGGCUUGAAUUCGGGAGAGGGAUGCAGAAUUCCAGGUGUAGCGGUGAAAUGCGUAGAUAUCUGGAGGAAUACCGGUGGCGAAGGCGGCAUCCUGGACCGACAUUGACGCUGAGGAGCGAAAGCCAGGGGAGCAAACGGG